RNAcentral lists this ribosomal RNA (472 nucleotides) under uncultured Actinomycetes bacterium. Its description in RNAcentral is "bacterial SSU rRNA". It matches the Rfam family "Bacterial small subunit ribosomal RNA", at positions 9 to 489 of the family's 1533-position model. The record is from RNAcentral. Lineage: Bacteria; Bacillati; Actinomycetota; Actinomycetes.
GAGUUUGAUCCUGGCUCAGGACGAACGCUGGCGGCGUGCCUAAUGCAUGCAAGUCGAGCGACGCACAUCGGAGGGGUAACCCACCGAUAUGACGGAGCGGCGAACGGGUGAGUAACACGUGAGCAACCUGCCCCACAGAUCGGGAUAGCCCAGGGAAACCUGGAUUAAUACCGAAUACCCUCGAGUAACCACAUGAUUGUUCGAGGAAAUGCCUUUGUGCUGUGGGAUGGGCUCGCGGCUUAUCAGCUAGUUGGUGGGGUAACGGCCUACCAAGGCAUCGACGAGUAGCUGGUCUGAGAGGACGAUCAGCCACACUGGGACUGAGACACGGCCCAGACUCCUACGGGAGGCAGCAGCAGGGAAUCUUGCGCAAUGGGCGAAAGCCUGACGCAGCAACGCCGCGUGGGGGAUGAAGGCCUUCGGGUUGUAAACCCCUUUCAGGAGGGAAGAAAUUGACGUACCUCCAAAAGAA